UUGAAAGUUCUUCAGUUUCUGGCGAGAAUUUUCCUCCUGGGAUUAGAGAUUAUCAGUUCUUUUUUGCUUGAAAAUCUUGGGGAUUCGUUAUGAAUUUGAGCGAGCAUCACAUAGAACAGCAGUGAACAGUUCUUUUUGUUCCAAAAAAAUAACAGUCGAUCCUCUCACCGCCAAAAGCGAGCUUUUUUUCUUUUUUGUUUUGGUCUAGUUCUGCAUUUUGGAGAUUUCUGUAUAUGCUGGCAGUAUAACUAUAUCAAUUUCAACAUCACAUUGUUUACUUCUGAUGUUUUGUUGGAAGAAUAAUAUUUUGUUUUUAACUUUGGUGCAGGGUUUUCAUCACAUUAUUUCGCCAUCUGCUGCAAUAAUACUUAUAACUACAAGCUCAAGUCAAGCCCCCACGAGGUGAUCAGUCUCAAAUGUUUGCAUCCUCUCAUAUAUUUAUUUCUCUGUGGCCCAUGUUAUAUCGAGUUGCUACGGCCAUCUGAUUCAGUUUAGAUAAAGAAUUCUCAUUAGUAACAAUCCUAAUAAUUUCACUGCAAUGUAGUUUUACAUCACCCUGUACUUGGGUGAAAGCAUAAUGUUACAGAAUAAAAUAAAUGUUACAGGAUAAAUUAGUUUGGCGACAUAAAGAGAUAGAAACAUGCCAACUUGGUUCCUGGGUCCUUGGCUAAACUGCUGAUGCUCAUGCAUUUAGCAGAGGCCACAUUAACUGAUUGUCCAAAAAACAUCAGUUUAUUUUCAGUUCAACUCUCACACAAACACAAGCCUCAGAGCUUCAGUGAAGUUCUGUUGUAAAGAAAGCAUUUCUACAAAUAGAGCAUUGCACCAGUAAAGGAUUCAACCAAAAUAACCAUUCUACAUCUUGGUAUAAAGAAAUUUGAAGUUCUGAACCCACAAGUACAUCCAAUGGUCGUGUCUUUAGAUAUGAAACUGCUUUGAACUUUAAAAAGCUUUUUGGCUAGGCAGAGGGUAAGAUCCAACCACUUGAGAAGUUCAGAUUGGUGGGAAACAAUGACUAAUUUCCAUGACAUUCAGAAAGGAUUGAUUUUACUAAUUCCCUAAGGGUAAAAGACAGCUAUAAACUACUUCCUCAGUUUCACAAUGUAAGUCAUUCUAGCAUUUUCCACAUUCAUAUUGAUGCUAAUAUCUAUAUAUAUCUAAAUUCAUUAGCAUCAAUAUGAAUGUGGAAAAUGCUAGAAUGACUUGCAUUGUGAAUAUCUAAAUUCAUUAGCAUCAAUAUGAAUAUGGAAAAUGCUAGAAUGACUUACAUUGUGAAACGGAGGGAGUAUAAAAUAAGACUGCACCAUGCAAUACCUCUUCCAAUAGAACCAGGGUCUUUCAAUGAACAUAACAAUUUUUAAGGAGCAACAGUUUGCCACAGGCUUAGAAAUGAAAAUGGAUUAGGAUCACCAUCUUGCAAUAGACUUCCCCAUCUCCAGCACUAUUUCUGGAUUAAACAGAACAGGAAAUGACCGCAAAUGCCAUUCCUCCAGUAAGGACCCUUCAGGAUUGGUUCAUGAUGAACUUGGACACUAUAUAAUUCCACACCACAAACAGAACAGGUUAUGGCCGCUUGGUUGAGAAAUUCGUCCAUAACCUUAGAUAUGAAAGGAAAUAUUAUAUUGGAAUUUAGGCAACAUUAUCAUCCUUUGCUUUGCACUUCUAAGAAAGUUAAUUUCCUACUUUGGAUAAAGAAUAUAUAUACCUUUUGAUAAGUAGGUCCACCUGAUAAUGCAUAAGAAUAACAAUCUUGUUACGAACAAGAAAGCAGUUUGUUAAGAAAGAUGAAAUAGCAGAAAUCAUUGGGGAAACAUGGUAACAUCAC
Molecule: long non-coding RNA, 1825 nt
Filed under: Oryza sativa (Asian cultivated rice)
Lineage: Eukaryota; Viridiplantae; Streptophyta; Magnoliopsida; Poales; Poaceae
Description: long non-coding RNA (OSAT_LNC001946)
Source: RNAcentral